Molecule: non-coding RNA, 133 nt
Filed under: Symbiodinium sp. Mp
Lineage: Eukaryota; Dinophyceae; Suessiales; Symbiodiniaceae
Source: RNAcentral
GUUCUUGACCCGUGCUGCUUCCAAGGACUCUCGUUUUGCGGGUAUGAACCUGGGUGGUUACAAUAUGAACUGGGCAGCGUACUUCUGUUGGAGCAGAGCCCCUCUGCAAAGAAGCCUCGAUGAGGCUCUGGCA